RNAcentral lists this ribosomal RNA (450 nucleotides) under uncultured bacterium. RNAcentral's name for it is "partial 16S ribosomal RNA". It matches the Rfam family "Bacterial small subunit ribosomal RNA", at positions 354 to 796 of the family's 1533-position model. The record is from RNAcentral.
GUGGGGAAUUUUGGACAAUGGGCGCAAGCCUGAUCCAGCAAUGCCGCGUGCAGGAAGAAGGCCUUCGGGUUGUAAACUGCUUUUGUCAGGGAAGAAAUCUUCUGGGCUAAUACCCCGGGAGGAUGACGGUACCUGAAGAAUAAGCACCGGCUAACUACGUGCCAGCAGCCGCGGUAAUACGUAGGGUGCGAGCGUUAAUCGGAAUUACUGGGCGUAAAGCGUGCGCAGGCGGCUUUGCAAGACAGAUGUGAAAUCCCCGGGCUCAACCUGGGAACUGCAUUUGUGACUGCAAGGCUAGAGUACGGCAGAGGGGGAUGGAAUUCCGCGUGUAGCAGUGAAAUGCGUAGAUAUGCGGAGGAACACCAAUGGCGAAGGCAAUCCCCUGGGCCUGUACUGACGCUCAUGCACGAAAGCGUGGGGAGCAAACAGGAUUAGAUACCCCAGUAGUCC